Molecule: ribosomal RNA, 402 nt
Filed under: uncultured bacterium
Lineage: Bacteria
Description: bacterial SSU rRNA
Rfam family: Bacterial small subunit ribosomal RNA
Source: RNAcentral
GUGGGGAAUAUUGGACAAUGGGGGCAACCCUGAUCCAGCAAUGCCGCGUGAGUGAUGAAGGCCUUCGGGUUGUAAAGCUCUUUCAGUGGGGACGAUAAUGACGGUACCCACCGAAGAAGCCCCGGCUAACUUCGUGCCAGCAGCCGCGGUAAUACGAAGGGGGCUAGCGUUGUUCGGAAUUACUGGGCGUAAAGCGCACGUAGGCGGAUUGUUAAGUUAGGGGUGAAAUCCCAGGGCUCAACCCUGGAACUGCCUUUAAUACUGGCAAUCUCGAGUCCGAGAGAGGUGAGUGGAAUUCCGAGUGUAGAGGUGAAAUUCGUAGAUAUUCGGAGGAACACCAGUGGCGAAGGCGGCUCACUGGCUCGGUACUGACGCUGAGGUGCGAAAGCGUGGGGAGCAAAC